AGGAGGCAGAGACAGAUGAGCAGUCAGGUCCUUGUACUUGAAACACUCCUAGCAUGGAAAACUGCAAUGCCGAUGUUUUGUUUUCCAGAAAUUAAAGCUGAUUCCUCGGGGGAAAGGUGUCAUCUAAAGAUGCAGGGAAAUUUAUCUGUGGAUCCAGAGGAGACUGUCAAAAAACUGUGAGCAUCUACUCAAUGGCAACAUGAGACACGAAGCAAUUCUAGGAUGCUCUAGGUGACUUGUCCUCAGUUCCUCAGCCCCAUCCGGUCUGAAGAUGCUUGUGUCGUCAACAGCAUACGAGAAUGUACAGAUGCCUACAAUUUACUGGGACUAGAUAGUGGUGACUGCAAAUGACAGUGGUAAUGAUAGAUAUCCUGGCAAUCAGAGCUGAGGAUGAGUCACAUGCUGGUUUUUAAAUGAAACAAAGAAGACCAAUUGUAUUUCAAUUCUGCAGGUGUCGGAAAUUGCACUGGGGUAAAUCAGUGUAGAGGACUCAUUUUUUGUGGUUUGUUGGUACCUCUAGAAAGUAGAAGCUCAAGCAAAAAUUUUGGUUGAACUGAAACAAGUCCUUUUAGAUAGCUUUUGUUAAAUAGAAAAGUAAAAUCCAGAAAAAAAAAUAUUUUGGAUUCUACAAUUAUUUCCAGACAUUUCUCCCAUGCCAAAUCCAAAAAAAUCUGAAAAUUAAGAAAAUUUCAAAUAAGAACUUUUUGGCAAUUGUUAGGAAAAAAGUGAAUAUUUUCUAAUUAUUUUAUUAAUGUUGGGUUAGGAACUGGAAAUUUGGAAAACUUUAUGCAUGAAAUCUGCGGUUUUGCAAAAAAAAAAAGUAAGGAACGUGAAUCUGAAACCUUUUGCACAGCUUCACAUCUAGGACCUAUGUGAAAUAUUAAGAUUCCAUGUGACUGAAAUUACAAAUACUCCUGUUGGAGUGGUGAUUUGAAUUUAAUAGUGAGGCUAUGCCUCAAAUAUAAUGUUUUUUAUAAAAUAACACUUUGACUCAAGGGAAGUUGUCUUCAUUUUAUGUGUGUUUCUGCAGGCAGAAGUGAUUGACCUCUGUUUCCAUAAAGUCAAAGUACCCAAAAUGUAGAGUGGCGCAUACAGAAAACAGCUUUGUGAAGG
RNAcentral lists this long non-coding RNA (1113 nucleotides) under Calidris pygmaea (Spoon-billed sandpiper). RNAcentral's name for it is "lncRNA (ENSCPGG00000018968.1)". The record is from RNAcentral. Lineage: Eukaryota; Metazoa; Chordata; Aves; Charadriiformes; Scolopacidae.